RNAcentral lists this ribosomal RNA (253 nucleotides) under uncultured bacterium. Its description in RNAcentral is "partial 16S ribosomal RNA". It matches the Rfam family "Bacterial small subunit ribosomal RNA", at positions 524 to 776 of the family's 1533-position model. The record is from RNAcentral.
UACGUAGGGUGCGAGCGUUAAUCGGAAUUACUGGGCGUAAAGCGUGCGCAGGCGGUGAUGUAAGACAGAUGUGAAAUCCCCGGGCUCAACCUGGGAACUGCAUUUGUGACUGCAUCGCUGGAGUGCGGCAGAGGGGGAUGGAAUUCCGCGUGUAGCAGUGAAAUGCGUAGAUAUCUGGAGGAACACCGGUGGCGAAGGCGGCAUCCUGGACCGGCACUGACGCUGAGGAGCGAAAGCCAGGGGAGCAAACGGG